Molecule: non-coding RNA, 5159 nt
Organism: Phoenix dactylifera (date palm)
Lineage: Eukaryota; Viridiplantae; Streptophyta; Magnoliopsida; Arecales; Arecaceae
Source: RefSeq, a predicted model, not a curated record
CAAGUCGGAGAGGAAAAAGCCGGCAGCUUUCAAAACUGCCCAAUUUCGAUAAAGCCUGAGAAGAAGCACCGACUCUCGGGGCGUGCGCGCGAACCUCAAUCGACGACGAUUCCCUAGAGGAAGCCUCCACAAAUCCAGCCCAAUUCAAUGGCAAGUUUUCAGCCUAGGUUAGGGUCUAGAAGAGAAACCCCAAGAGGACGUCAUCAUGGUUUAAGUCAACAAAAGAGGCAAGAGAUAAAAGAAGCAUUUGAACUCUUUGAUACAGAUGGUUCUGGGACUAUUGAUGCCAAAGAGCUGAAUGUUGCCAUGAGGGCCUUGGGUUUUGAAAUGACAGAAGAGCAAGUGAAUCAGAUGAUUGCUGAAGUAGACAAAGAUGGCAGUGGUGCGAUUGAUUUUGAUGAAUUUGUAUACAUGAUGACAGCCAAGAUGGGAGAAAGGGAUUUCAGGGAAGAACUAAUGAAAGCUUUUCGCAUUAUUGACCAAGAUAACAAUGGAAAGAUAUCUGAUGUUGAUAUCCAUCAUGUUGCUAGAGAGUUGGGGGAAAACUUUACUCUUCAAGAGAUCAGAGAGAUGAUAGCAGAAGCAGACCAAAAUCGCAACAAACAUAUUCACCUAAAAUGUUUUUCUGAAACUUUUAGGAAGCACAACCAAGAUAUAGUGUCAGUAAUUUGUAGAAAUACUGCUCACCUAUUAUGGCUUCGGUAGAGCUUCAACAACAAUGAGGAUGGAAUUCGAGCUGGAGAGGAGAAAAAUAUUUCUACUUUUAGUUUCUAUUUCUGUCUGUGUAAUUAAGAGGAACUGCAAUAGUUAUUUCGGAACAUUUAUAUCCCACACUGGUUGACUUUAGAAUGAGGACUCUUCAUAAUGCGUAUACAGUAUCUAUAUGGACUCCUGGUAGAAAGAACAUGGCUCAAUGUGUACAAUAAAAUUGUGAAAAAUGGAGAAAAUCAAAACCCUUUCCUUAUCAAAGUGUCAAGGAAAAAUAUUGGAAAUGAUCUAGCUUUUUGUAAAAUAAGCAUUACACCUUAAAUGUGUUCCCCUUUAUAUUGCAGAAUACACAAGGAGGUUAUGUACAUAAAUCAUUGCCUUAUCAAAUUCGCAUUUUUUGUAUUUUGGAAACCAUACAGUAGAUAUGCUUGAAUAUGGUUUUACCUUAGGGUAAGUCAGAAUUUGAAGCUGUGUUUUAUCUUCGUCCUCUUUUUUAUUGGCAUAUUCCUUCAUGAAACCAUUCACUAAUAGUAAUUAAAUAUAAAUGUUAAAUUAUUAUGUCCUACAUUGCUUAUUAAUUUGGCAAGAAAAUAAACUACAAUAUAUGAAUAAUUUUUAAGUUUUGAAUUAGAAAAAAGGACAGGUAAGUUUUUUUUCGAAUUCGGUGGUGUAUUAGUGUACGGGGCAUAACAUACAGAUUCCUUUAGUGUAAGGAUUAUGUAAUUGUUAGAUAGGUUUGGGAACUUCAGAGAAAGAUAAGGUGCAUCAAGCUCAAUACACAUCCUUGGUGCCAUUAGCUGAGGAGCCGAUUGACACGUGCCGACAAGGAUUGACAGUCCUGGCAGUGGGCAGUCGUGACAGCGACUGGCUGUUGCGACAACUCUGCAUUCGGCGCGCAGUCAGUACCAUAUGCCUCCAUGCGGACUAGUUGCUACGUCACGGCCGUACAACCGAUCGUUGCCUGGCCAUUAUUAUAUGCCACGUCAGCUUAGGUAAAUGACAAAAUAGGCUCCCAUAGAUAAAGGGACAGCUCGAGGGACCUUAGGUACGCAUGAUAUUUUCAUCCACUCAUAGAGGCCACCCUUUGCUGAAGCUUUUUUCUUUUCAUAUUGUUGCCUCUCUAUCCUAACUUAGGCAUCGGAGGAUUCUCCACUGGAAAAUCUCCGGCAAGCAAACUUUUUGUAGGCCAUCCCCUAGGGAGAUCAAUCUCCCACUCCUUCCUUGUCCACCUCGGUUCUUACUGACCUCAAGACCAUCCAAGCCGUGCUUCGAUCUUAGUCUGGGACUCAACGGCAACAUAGGCGGUUAUAGCUUUUUACUGCCACGCCUAUAUAAAGAGGGCCGAAGGACCCCAAAAGAGGGGCUCUCGUAGCCAGGAGCUCCCAUUAGCUUGGGGCUCUCAUAGCUCAAAGCUUUUAUGGUAAAAGGCUCUCAACCCCUUGUCCAUCAUCCUACCCUCUUUCUUUUGGCAGGUUAGUAGGUCUAUGAGCUGCCAGAGGCCGGGGUGAAGCCCAAAGCCAAGGUGAAACUCAAGGCCGAGGUGAAACCCAAGGCGAAGGUGAAGGUCGAGGCCGAGGUGAAGGAUGAGGCCGAGGUGAGAAGGCCGACCAGAGGAGGCCGACUAGAAGAAGACAAUGCUCUACGCUAAUCUUUUCCUUCGUAUUUUUUUAUUCUCUAUUGCUAUUCCAAAGCCCUCUCUGACUUAGGCAUUGGAGGGUCUGGCCGGAGCCAAUUCGGCGAGCCUCUCUUUUCUUCCUUUGUGUACAGAUCGACAUCUCUUUGCGGAUAGAUUGGCACCCUCCAAACCUUCAUAGUCGGAUCGAAUUUUGCGGCAACAGAUUAGCGCCAGAAGGAGGGCUCCUAGCCUCCAGCUACAUCAACAUCAAUUGACGGGAGGAACAACCAGCAUGAGGUCGCGAGGAGCCCAUGGCAUGUUGCAUGCCUUGCAACGCCAUGCUCCAGCCUCGGCUGAUCUCUGCAAAGCACCUCGACGGCACCCGAUCUCACGGACUUGGAACUUCGACUAUCUUCGCAUCUACUAUCAGUAAGGUUCAUUGUAUUCCGGCUAUCUUUAAUUAAAAAAAAUCUUCUUGUCAUGUCUUUGCCUUCAGAUCGGACAAUUAUGAUAAGCGGACUCGACUUGAGACAUCCUGAAAAUGCCUGGGCCCCAAUAAGGGAGACACCCUGAGGAUGUCUGGGGCCUCCUUAAACCGAGCCCACUUGGAUUUUGACCAGUAGGCAACUCUAGAGAUGCCUCCGAGAGCAUACUCUGAAGAUAAACGGAGGCGACGACCUAUUGAAGAUCGAGCCCACUCGAAUUUCUUCUGAUAGGCAACCCCAGAGAUGCCUUCGAGAGCAUACUCUAGAGAUGAACGAGGCGCCGACCUCCUGAAGACCGAGCCCACUCGGAUUUUUUCUGGUAGGCAACCCCAGAUAUGCCUCUGGAGAGCAUACUCUGGAGAUGAACGAAGGCGCAGGCCUUCUGAAGACUGAGCCCACUUGGAUAUUCUCUGGUAGGUAAUCUCAAAGAUACCUCCGAGAGCAUACUUCAGAGAUGAACGGAGGCGCCAACCUCCUGAAGAGCAAGCCCACUUGGACAUCUUCUGGUAAGCAACCCCCGAGAUGCCUUCAGGAGCAUACUCCGGAGACGAACGGAGGCGCCGACCUUCUGAGAACCGAGCCCACUCGAAACUUUCUCCGAAUCUCAAUUCAUGGAUGCCUCUAGGACCAUGGUCCAAAGAUGAAAGGAGACCCCCGAGCUGAUCUGGGAUCUCCUCACUCAAAACUCCUUAAGGGCCAAACUCUGGAAAGAUCAAUCGAGGAGCCCGAGGCGAGCUAAAGCUCCAUAAGGAGAAGAGCGCGGCAUGAUGACCGAAAAGUGGUCGAACACAAGUAAAGACCGAAGUCGGGUACUUUGGAAAUUUCUUUACUUUUAUUAUCUUUCAGUAUAUAUAUUGAGCUCGACAGUGCCCAAACGAAAGAAACUACACAAAAGGUCAAAGCUUGGAGUGACGACCUGAACUCGAGCAAAAAUAAAUAAGGAUGAAAACUAAUGUCAGGUACUUCAAAUUUUUUUUUUAUUAUUUUCAUUGUUUUUCUGCAUAUAUAUUGACCUUGACAAAAAUCAAGCAAAAAGAGCUACAACAAAAGGUCAAAGCUUGGGGCAACGAUCUGAACUCAAGCAAAAGUAAACAAGAAGGAUGAAAACCGAAGUCAGGUACUUCGAAAUUUUUUUUAUUUUUAUUGUCUUGCUGCAUAUAUAUUGACCUUGGCAGAAACCGAGCAGAAAGAGCUCUAACAAAAUGUCAAAGCUUGGGGCGACGACUUGGACUCAAACAAAAAACAAACAAGGGCAAAAGUUGAAGCCAGAGACCAGGCAAAACAAAAAGUACAUUGAGCUCGGUUUACCCGAGCGAAAAGAAAAAGGACUUCAUCCUUCACCACCUUCGUCACCGACGCAUUUAAGGCUCCCUGACAAAAGCUCCAUCCUCGAUCGAGAUGACGACAUGACUUUCGCCGUCCGAACUGGAAUGCAGUUCGGUCUCAGAAGUGGGAGGCAAGUGAUGGAGAAAAUAUUGGACGCCUCGACCUCGAAUCGGACUGACCUCGGUAUAAAUUGAGGUGAACUUUGGCCCCAGCCGAGGAGUUAUUAGCCGAGGAGCCGAUUGACACAUGCCGACAAGGACUGAUAGUCCCAAUAAUGGGCCGUCGUGACAGUGACUGGCCAUUGCGACAGCUUUGCAUUCGGUGCGCGGUCAGUACCAUAUACCACCCACGUUGAUUGGCUCCUAUACCGUGGCCGUACUGCCGGCUGUUGGCUGGCCAUCAUUAUACGCCACGUCAGCCCAAGUAAACGACAAAAUGGGCUCCUCUAUAUCAAGAGGCAGCCUGGGAGACCUCAGGUACGCAUGACAUUUUCAUCCACUCACAGAGGCUACCCUCUGAUGAAGCUUUUUUUCUUUUAUACUGUUGCCUCUCUAUCCUAACUUAGGCAUCAGAGGAUCCCCCACUGAAGCCAAUCUAGCAAGCCUUUCUUUUCUUCCUUUGUGUAUAGAUCGGCAUCUCUUUGCGGAUCAACUCACACCCUCCAAACCUCCAUAGUCUGACCAGAUUCUGCGACAAAAGGCGAUGGAGAAGUUGAUCUUGAUGAGUUUAUCAGGAUGAUGAGAAGGACAGGUUACGGUCAUUAAAUGUUCGAUGUUAUCUUGCUGCAAAAGGCUGUGAAUUCUGUUAUGAUGCAAGUGACUAAAAGAGCUUCGAAUUCUAGAUUGUGAUGUAAAUUAAAUUAACCUGCGUGCCAAACGAUACUGUAGUUUUAUGCACUGUAUCUUGCUUUAUUUUAUUUCUAUCGUUUCUAAUGUAUGGUUGUGCUGUUUGAUAGUUGUAAUACUCAUUAAGAAUGGCUAUUUUCUUGAUGUUGAAUCGAUAAUGCGACCACCAGAUUAUUUUCA